ACGGGUGAGUAACGCGUGGGAAUCUACCUAGUUCUACGGAACAACACAGGGAAACUUGUGCUAAUACCGUAUACGCCCUAAGGGGGAAAGAUUUAUCGGAAUUAGAUGAGCCCGCGUAAGAUUAGCUAGUUGGUGGGGUAAUGGCCUACCAAGGCGACGAUCUUUAGCUGGUCUGAGAGGAUGAUCAGCCACACUGGGACUGAGACACGGCCCAGACUCCUACGGGAGGCAGCAGUGGGGAAUAUUGGACAAUGGGCGCAAGCCUGAUCCAGCCAUGCCGCGUGAGUGAUGAAGGCCUUAGGGUUGUAAAGCUCUUUCAGUAGGGAAGAUAAUGACGGUACCUACAGAAGAAGCCCCGGCUAACUUCGUGCCAGCAGCCGCGGUAAUACGAAGGGGGCUAGCGUUGUUCGGAUUUACUGGGCGUAAAGCGCACGUAGGCGGAUUGUUAAGUCGGGGGUGAAAUCCUGGAGCUCAACUCCAGAACUGCCUUCGAUACUGGCAAUCUCGAGUCCGGAAGAGGUGAGUGGAACUCCUAGUGUAGAGGUGGAAUUCGUAGA
RNAcentral lists this ribosomal RNA (557 nucleotides) under Devosia sp. BvIRHM023. RNAcentral's name for it is "bacterial SSU rRNA". It matches the Rfam family "Bacterial small subunit ribosomal RNA", at positions 102 to 694 of the family's 1533-position model. The record is from RNAcentral. RNAcentral also lists the same sequence under 12 other names. Lineage: Bacteria; Pseudomonadati; Pseudomonadota; Alphaproteobacteria; Hyphomicrobiales; Devosiaceae.